RNAcentral lists this transfer RNA (78 nucleotides) under Martinezella tropici. RNAcentral's name for it is "Rhizobium tropici tRNA-Met". Lineage: Bacteria; Pseudomonadati; Pseudomonadota; Alphaproteobacteria; Hyphomicrobiales; Rhizobiaceae. The record is from RNAcentral.
UUGCCCAUCGUUAGCCAUCACUAUAUGAUGCGGCUCAUAACCGCUUGGUUGGGGGUUCGAGUCCCUCCGGGCCCACCA